AAUCACACCACUUGUUUGUACAUGGUUUGAAGCUAAAUGUGACAAAAUGUUGCUGUUUUUAUUUUUUAGCAUGAGCUGCUUUAGAGACGGCACCCCAUAUAAUAUUAAUGAAUGCAAUGUAAUAAACUUAACGAGUAAUUAGUUUCGUUCUUAGCCUCGUAUGAGUAGUGAUUCAAGCCUAAAGGCUUCGCUUUUUGUUAAAUCAUUUUUGCCUGUAGUUGUGCCGAGUGCUUGUGUUUAUAGUUAGCCUGAGUUUUUCCCUCUGUGAGUUUUUGGUUUGAGAUAAUCCUCCUACCUCAAGAAGCAGUAGCGUGUAGCUCAGCCUUCUUUGUAGUCAUUAUUAGUUAGCCUUCCGUCCGCUAGCAACUGCUUGUGUUCAAUACUGUGUUUAGGCAAUAAAGCCUCUUAAAACCAACUUUCUGGCGUACUCGUUCAUUCCCUGCAUCUGAGCUCUAGUCCAGAAUCCUGACAGCACGAUCCAGCCAAGUAUGAGCUCAGCAGGGAAUGCACCGGUUGCCGAAGGAGCAGCUAAUUUGUCUAUUCAGGAAGCGUUGCAUAGCUUAGACGCUGCGUUAGUCCAACAUGACCAAACCUUGCGGUCACUAUCUACCAGCAAUUCAGCUAUGUUUAAACAGCUUUCAACGGUAACAGAAAAGAUUAACCAACUGACCAUCCAGCCCGGCCAAUCCGCUCCGGCUCCACUUGAUUUUCAACCCGAGGUUCCUUCACCGGAAUGUUAUAGUGGAGAUUUCGGUUUGUGUCAAGCGUUUUUGACCCAAGUUUCAUUAGUUUUUGAACUUAAGCCUUGUUCUUAUCCUACUGAUCGAUCUCGCAUAGCCCGAUCUUAUCGGGUUGUUAGCCGGAGAUGCUUGUGACUGGGGAACAGCCAUCUGGAAGAAACAGGGAGCACUUUGUAACUCUUAUGCCGCUUUCGUAAAAGAAAUAGCAAACAACUUUGACUUCCCGAUCAACGGCAAGGAUUCCAUCUCGAGACUGCUGGAAAUACAACAAUGUCCCCGCAGCAUUGCCGCUUACGCCCGUGAGUUCCGAACUCUCGCUGCAGACACUGACUGGACUGAGUCGGUGCUUAGAAGUGCUUUCUACCGUGGAUUAAAUGAACAAUUGAAGGAUCAGCUGGUGAUGAAAGAUCAACCCUCGUCUCUGGAUCAGUGGAUUUCGCUUGCCAUCUCCCUGGACAACCGCAUCAAGGAGAGGCGUCUAGAGAGGAAGGCACAGCCCUGGCGUGGAUCCCCUUCGACGGCUCCUGUAGCUUCCCCACCACCAUCGGAAUCCCCAGCUCCCGAACCAGAGCCGAUGCAGAUAGGCCCCACCAAACUCACUCGGCAAGAGAAGAACCACCGGAGGGCUGUGCGACUCUGCCUAUACUGUGGAGGCGUUAGUGACUUUGUGGCCACCUGACAGCAAAAGAGAAGCCUUGCCCGUGAACGGGGAAUUACGGGUGAGCCAAACUUCCACCUCCCCUCCUCAUCGGUUUCUGCUGAACACUACGCUUUGUUGAGGCACCGUCUCCUUACCUGUUUCCACGCUGGUGGACUCCGGGGCUGAGUAACGUCUCCUGGACGCCAACCUGGUAAGACAGCUGGGCAUUCCUUGCCUGGGGACCAGACAGCCUUUAUAUUGUGUAUUACAUAUACACAUAAAGUCAGUCUGAAACUGCUCCAUUGAACCAAAUCUAGCCCAGAGGCGGGACUACCGAUCACAGCUUGAAUUGGAGAGAGCCAAUCAGCGUAACGCAUGUGUGAUGCAAUCACUAAGCGACCUAACAACUGCCUUUCCACCAUUAUAUUUUGUAGUUUUAACAGCUUCCUUCGCCGUACAGGGGUCCUGAGGAAAAUCUAAGCUCUCCCUUUCAACAGUGGAGGGCAGCAUUACGCAUUCUAUCGUACAGCCUGCCGGAAUUAAAAGAAGAAGAAGAAGUAGUCCAAACAGUUAUGGCGACCAGUUUUAAGGACAAAUUCAGCCCGUGCAAAACAGAGGAAAGCGCACGAGAGAAACCUCGCUCUGUUGUGGUCGCCAUUUCAUUUGUAUGCGGGAGGUGCACAGGUGUUAGAUGGGUAAUCUCAGCCCUGAAGAUGACGCAUUGUUAACUCCCGCCUCUGGUGCUCUGAUUGGUUCGGUCUGAUCUGCUCGGAGCUUGACAACAUGUCAAAAUGUGUCAAUGGAGGAGGGCAAGACCGUAUUCCCGUAUAUCCCUUAUAACGGGAAUACAAAGUCUAGCUAAGCUAGGCUAGGGCAUUCCUACUACCUCACUAGAUCAAACCUUGACAGCUCGUUCCCUUGAUGGCCUUCGUUUAGCUCAACUCUCAAAAGAAACGGUUCCCAUAGAUUUGGUCACGGCCGGUAAUCAUAGAGAAAAGCUUACCUUUUGUGUUAUGGACAAUGCUAAUCCCCCUUUGGUUCUUGGUCAUUCUUGGUUAGUUAAACACAAUCCACAGAUUAAUUGGCAGGUUCGUGAAAUCUCUUCAUGGAGUUCCUCUUGUCAUCAGAGUUGUUUGUGUUCUGCACUCACCCCGUCCAGUCCCGCUGUAGCCGGCCCUAUUUAACCCAUCAAUCCAGAUAAGGUUCCGGUUCAAUAUCAUGAUUUAGCUGCGGUUUUCAGUAAAACCAGAGUCAUGUCUCUGCCGCCUCAUCGCCCUUAUGACUGCGCCAUUGAACUUUUGCAAGGUGCCACUUUACCAUCUGGCAGACUGUAUAGCAUUUCCAAGCCUGAACAGACGGCGAUGGAAACGUAUAUUAGAGAGUCACUGGCGGCAGGAAUUAUUAGGCCUUCAUCUUCCCCCCUUGGAGCAGGGUUUUUCUUUGUAGAAAAGAAAGAUGGUUCCCCGAGACCUUGCAUUGAUUAUCGUGGUCUUAAUAGCAUUACUGUUAGAAACUCCUAUGCUUUACUCCUGAUGGAUUCGGCCUUCACUCCCCUUUGGGGGGGUACAGUAUUUACGAAAUUAGAUCUUCGUAACGCGUACCAUCUUGUCUGAAUUCGUAGGGGGGACGAGUGGAAAACGGCCUUUAAUACACCAUUGGGUCAUUUUGAGUAUUUAGUUAUGCCUUUAGGCCUCACGAAUGCCCCAGCUGUCUUCCAGCAUUUAAUUAAUGAGGUCCUCCGUGACAUGCUCAAUCGUUUUGUGUUUGUGUAUCUGGAUGAAAUUUUGAUUUUCUCACAGACCCUUGAGGAACAUGUUGGCCAUGUUCGACAGGUGCUGGAGCGGCUUCUGAAAAACUUCUGUUUGUCAAAGCGGAAAAAUGUGAGUUUCAUGCCUCGACUGUUUCCUUUCUGGGGUUUGUUAUCUCUCCAGGCCAAAUCAGGAUGGACCCUGGGAAGCUCUCUGCAGUACAAGACUGGCCUGUUCCCAAGACCAGGGAGCAGCUCCAGCGUUUCCUUGGUUUUGCAAAUUUCUACAGACGUUUUAUCAAGGACUAUAGUAAAGUGGCUUCUCCUCUCACUGCUCUAACCUCUACCUCCAGGUCGUUUUCAUGGAUGCCCGAGGCAGCUUGGGCAUUUGACGAACUCAAGCGGCGGUUUACCUGUGCUCCGAUCCUUACUCAGCUGGAUCCGUCCCUUCAGUUCAUUGUGGAGCUCGAUGCUUCAGACACUGGUGUUGGGGCAGUGCUUUCUCAGCGGUCCCCUCGGGACCAGAAACUCCAUCCGUGCGCCUUCUUUUCUCAGCAUCUUUCCGCCGCUGAACGGAAUUAUGGCAUUGGUGACAGGGAGCUUCUGGCAGUUAAAUUAGCCCUGGAAGAAUGGCAUCAUUGGCUGGAGGGGGCUGAACUUCCAUUUGUGGUCCGUCCAGACCACAAGAAUUUGGAAUAUAUUAAAGGUCCCAUAUUAUGCUAUUUUUCAGUCACGUCAUAUAGGUCUCAGAAGCCCAAAAACAUAGUAUUUAAGUUUGUUCGCCCCAAAAUCAUCCUUUGUUUGGAGUUUCAGCGGUCGAAAAAGUCACUCUCACCAGCCCUCCUCAGAACAGGCUGUUUAUGGGCCUGCUUCCGGGUAUGUAAAUGAACGCAUCUGUCCACGCCCACUCCACCUCCCCUCUCUGGGAGAGGACGCGGCUUACGCUAGCGGUACUACGCGCUAAUGUUGACUGUGAAGCCAUGGCUCGUCGGGACGCAGUAGUUCAGCCCUACCAGUUCGACCCAGAGUCUGACCCAGAAGGAGAGGCUCCUGAUGAAGUCCCAACUCUGCGGCUGCAGCAGGACGUUUCGGAAUGGUUAGUCAACAAUAUCCUGUGUCUUAGAUGUAUUUGUAGUUUGUUCCUGUGUGUUAUUGUUACAGCUACUACGUUGUUGCUAACGCUAGCUUGACGCUAAUGGUAACUUACUGUUUUACUUACCAUCAUAUUAUACUGAAUUAUCUUGUUUCAAAGUAGCAUAAAAUUGUCUUAUCGUGACGUCUUUUUACGUUUUCAAGGCUGUGGGCUGUGGCACUGUGCAUAUCCUUCAUGAGCCACACUGUAUUUCCAAUAUAAAUAAGUAUCCAAAGUGAAUUAUGAUGAAUCAUGCUAGAGAAUAUAGACUUUGGGAAAUGUUCACUUUCUGUUCUUUGGAUAGGUGCUCCUGUGGAAACUGUGGUACUAUGCCCACAGAAGCUGAAAACAUCUGUUGCUUCGAGAUACCACAGAUUACCAGACGCCUACAGGAGGUCGAUGAAGAACUGACCUGUAUGGUUGACCAUUGUGGGUUAGAGUCAGUGUGCCUAAAUAUUUAUUCUCUGCAAAACGCCUGCCAAAUAUACUGGGCUGACUAUGGCCCUUUACAGCUGAGAGGAAUACACCAGUACUACAGUGGGGACAUGCCUCCAAGGUCGCUUGCCAUCCUGGGAGUCGACGUACGCUGGAACUGAUUAGACAACGGUUCUGGUGUCCGUCUCUGGUUACAGAUGUGAAGGAGUUUGUGGCAGCCUGCACUACCUGUGCGCGUAAUAAGGCUUCUAACCAGGUCAGUCCGGGACUUCUCCGUCCGCAGUCUAAUGGUCAGACAGAGCGUACUAACCAGUCAUUAGAGACGUUUUUGUGUUGUUUGGUUUCAGAGAACCCAUCCUCUUGGUGUGAGAGAUUGCCUUGGAUUGAAUAUACCCACUCUUUCACCAAUGCCUCUUCUGGGUUAUCUCCCUUUUAGUGCUCUCUGGGCUACCAGCCUCCUUUGUUUUCCUCCCAGUAAGCUGAGAUUAACAUUCCUUCUGUGGCUUCGUUACUCCGUUGUAUGCGGGGCACAUGGGGCCGUGCACGGCGAGCUCUGUGAUGUUCCGCCCAGCAGAUGGCGACCCAGGCUAAUCGUCACUGACGACCGGCUCCGACCUACUCCCCCGGCCAGAAGGUGUGGCUUCGGGCUAAGGACAUUCCUCUGAGGGUGGAGUCUUGUAAGCUGGCACCUCAUUUUAUUGGGCCUUUCAAGGUAGAUUGGGUUAUUAAUCCCUGUUCAGUAUGAUUGCAUCUGCCUGCCUCCAUGAAAGUGCACCCUACAUUUCAUGUGUCUCAACUUAAGCCUGUUUCUGAGUGUGCACUAGCCCUCCCUGAUCCACCCCUGCCGCGACCCAGGAUGAUUGAUGGGGCUCCGGUCUACACGGUUCGGCGACUGCUGGAUGCCUGCCGGCGGGGCAGGGACUUGCAGUUCCUUGUGGAGUGGGAGGGAUACAGUCCGGAGAAACGGAGUUGGGUGCCUCACAAUAGGAUUAUGGACAGGACACUGAUCUCUGACUUUUUCCAAAGUCACCCCAACCAUCCUGCGCGGGCACCUGGAGGGUUGGGGUAUAUUUUUGUCCUACAUGGCUGUAUGUGAAAGUUGAACAUGUUAAGUCACUAUCUGCUAAGUCAUUUCUUAAGACUAUUUUUCAGAAAAUGUGCCUUAAAAAUAGUUUAGACGAAAUAAAGUUAUAAGAGAUAAUAGAAACAA
Acanthochromis polyacanthus (spiny chromis) is the source of this 5904-nucleotide long non-coding RNA. RefSeq lists it as uncharacterized. The record is from RefSeq and is a predicted model, not a curated record. Lineage: Eukaryota; Metazoa; Chordata; Actinopteri; Pomacentridae. The transcript is spliced from 3 exons.